Pollicipes pollicipes is the source of this 266-nucleotide long non-coding RNA. RefSeq lists it as uncharacterized. The record is from RefSeq and is a predicted model, not a curated record. Lineage: Eukaryota; Metazoa; Arthropoda; Thecostraca; Pollicipedomorpha; Pollicipedidae. The transcript is spliced from 3 exons.
UGGGUUCCGAGCGGCUGGAGCCCGACCAGGAGCAAGUGCUGCAGGAAAUGGUGAGAUUUCUUCAGUUGCGAGUGAGCGAAGUCAAGGUUUACCCCGAUGAUGCAGGGCCGUUGGCGAAGAUGGAGGUAAAGGAGAUGAUGACAACGCUUGUCGCCAAGUGGUCCCAAAUGACUGAGAAUUGCUCUCCGUGAGAUGCACGGCGAGACGUCAUCCCGUCGAAGGCUGAAUGGUGGCGUCUCGUGUGCGGCAUGCCAGCCUGUCAGACC